Molecule: ribosomal RNA, 775 nt
Filed under: Acarospora socialis
Lineage: Eukaryota; Fungi; Ascomycota; Lecanoromycetes; Acarosporales; Acarosporaceae
Description: mitochondrial SSU rRNA
Rfam family: Bacterial small subunit ribosomal RNA
Source: RNAcentral
UAGCAGUGAGGAAUAUUGGUCAAUAGCCUAACGGCUGAACCAGCAAUUUGGGGGAAUGUAUAGCGAAAGCUAGUUGUAUUAACUAUUAGUUAAUGCAAGAUCGAUUAUGUCGACUAAAGUUCUAGGUAGAAUAAUGAUGAUGACAAUUUUCUACCUAUAUGUCUUGACCAAGUCUCGUGCCAGCAGUCGCGGUAAUACGUGGAAGACUAGUGUUAUUCAUCUUUAAUAGGUUUAAAGGGUACCUAGACGGUAUUUCUAGCCCAAAAUAGGGUACGGAUUUACUAGAGUUUUAUGUGAGGAGGGGAGUACUCGUGGAGUAGAGAUGAAAUUUUGUGAUACUACGAGGAAACUGGUGGCGGCGAAAGCAACCUUCUAUGUAUAAACUGACGUUGAGGGACGAAGGCUUGGGUAGCAAAUAGGAUUAGAUACCCUAGUAGUCCAAGCAGACAAUUCUGAAUGCCAUAGAUUAGAUUUUUUUUUGGUCUAUAAAUGAAAGUGUAAGCAUUCCACCUUAAGAGUAAUGUGGCAACACAGGAACUGAAAUCAUUAGACCGUUUCUGAAACCAGUAGUGAAGUAUGUUAUUUAAUUUGUUGGUCCUCAAAAAACCUUACCACAACUUGAAUAUUAUUCAAUUAAUACAAGCGUUGCACGGCUGUCUUCAGUUAAUGUCGUGAGAUUUUGGUUAACUCCAUUAAUUAACGUAAACCCUUACUUUAUUUAUUUUUUUUAUAAAGUAGAUCGCCACUAUAUUGGAUAUGAUAAGAGGACUAAGAC